UUAAGCGACUAAGCGUACACGGUGGAUGCCCUGGCAGUCAGAGGCGAUGAAGGGCGUGCUAAUCUGCGAUAAGCGCCGGUAAGGUGAUAUGAACCGUUAUAACCGGCGAUACCCGAAUGGGGAAACCCAGUGUGAUUCGUCACACUAUCAUUAACUGAAUCCAUAGGUUAAUGAGGCGAACCGGGGGAACUGAAACAUCUAAGUACCCCGAGGAAAAGAAAUCAACCGAGAUUCCCCCAGUAGCGGCGAGCGAACGGGGAGGAGCCCAGAGCCUGAAUCAGCAUGUGUGUUAGUGGAAGCGUCUGGAAAGGCGCGCGAUACAGGGUGACAGCCCCGUACACAAAAGCGCAUGUGCUGUGAGCUCGAUGAGUAGGGCGGGACACGUGGUAUCCUGUCUGAAUAUGGGGGGACCAUCCUCCAAGGCUAAAUACUCCUGACUGACCGAUAGUGAACCAGUACCGUGAGGGAAAGGCGAAAAGAACCCCGGCGAGGGGAGUGAAAAAGAACCUGAAACCGUGUACGUACAAGCAGUGGGAGCACCCUUUGGGGUGUGACUGCGUACCUUUUGUAUAAUGGGUCAGCGACUUAUAUUCUGUAGCAAGGUUAACCGUAUAGGGGAGCCGCAGGGAAACCGAGUCUUAAUUGGGCGUUAAGUUGCAGGGUAUAGACCCGAAACCCGGUGAUCUAGCCAUGGGCAGGUUGAAGGUUGGGUAACACUAACUGGAGGACCGAACCGACUAAUGUUGAAAAAUUAGCGGAUGACCUGUGGCUGGGGGUGAAAGGCCAAUCAAACCGGGAGAUAGCUGGUUCUCCCCGAAAGCUAUUUAGGUAGCGCCUCGUGAAUUCAUCUCCGGGGGUAGAGCACUGUUUCGGCUAGGGGGCCAUCCCGGCUUACCAACCCGAUGCAAACUGCGAAUACCGGAGAAUGUUAUCACGGGAGACACACGGCGGGUGCUAACGUCCGUCGUGAAGAGGGAAACAACCCAGACCGCCAGCUAAGGUCCCAAAGUCAUGGUUAAGUGGGAAACGAUGUGGGAAGGCCCAGACAGCCAGGAUGUUGGCUUAGAAGCAGCCAUCAUUUAAAGAAAGCGUAAUAGCUCACUGGUCGAGUCGGCCUGCGCGGAAGAUGUAACGGGGCUAAACCAUGCACCGAAGCUGCGGCAGCGACGCUGAUGCGUUGUUGGGUAGGGGAGCGUUCUGUAAGCCUGCGAAGGUGGCCUGUGAGGGUUGCUGGAGGUAUCAGAAGUGCGAAUGCUGACAUAAGUAACGAUAAAGCGGGUGAAAAGCCCGCUCGCCGGAAGACCAAGGGUUCCUGUCCAACGUUAAUCGGGGCAGGGUGAGUCGACCCCUAAGGCGAGGCCGAAAGGCGUAGUCGAUGGGAAACGGGUUAAUAUUCCCGUACUUGGUGUUACUGCGAAGGGGGGACGGAGAAGGCUAUGUUGGCCGGGCGACGGUUGUCCCGGUUUAAGCGUGUAGGUGUGUGUUCCAGGUAAAUCCGGUUCACUUUAACACUGAGGCGUGACGACGAGGCACUACGGUGCUGAAGCAACAAAUGCCCUGCUUCCAGGAAAAGCCUCUAAGCAUCAGGUAACAUCAAAUCGUACCCCAAACCGACACAGGUGGUCAGGUAGAGAAUACCAAGGCGCUUGAGAGAACUCGGGUGAAGGAACUAGGCAAAAUGGUGCCGUAACUUCGGGAGAAGGCACGCUGACACGUAGGUGAAGUGAUUUACUCAUGGAGCUGAAGUCAGUCGAAGAUACCAGCUGGCUGCAACUGUUUAUUAAAAACACAGCACUGUGCAAACACGAAAGUGGACGUAUACGGUGUGACGCCUGCCCGGUGCCGGAAGGUUAAUUGAUGGGGUCAGCGCAAGCGAAGCUCCUGAUCGAAGCCCCGGUAAACGGCGGCCGUAACUAUAACGGUCCUAAGGUAGCGAAAUUCCUUGUCGGGUAAGUUCCGACCUGCACGAAUGGCGUAAUGAUGGCCAGGCUGUCUCCACCCGAGACUCAGUGAAAUUGAACUCGCUGUGAAGAUGCAGUGUACCCGCGGCAAGACGGAAAGACCCCGUGAACCUUUACUAUAGCUUGACACUGAACACUGGUCCUUGAUGUGUAGGAUAGGUGGGAGGCUUUGAAGUGUGGACGCCAGUCUGCAUGGAGCCAUCCUUGAAAUACCACCCUUUAAUGGCUGGUGUUCUAACGUAGACCCGUAAUCCGGGUUGCGGACAGUGUCUGGUGGGUAGUUUGACUGGGGCGGUCUCCUCCUAAAGAGUAACGGAGGAGCACGAAGGUUGGCUAAUCCUGGUCGGACAUCAGGAGGUUAGUGCAAUGGCAUAAGCCAGCUUGACUGCGAGCGUGACGGCGCGAGCAGGUGCGAAAGCAGGUCAUAGUGAUCCGGUGGUUCUGAAUGGAAGGGCCAUCGCUCAACGGAUAAAAGGUACUCCGGGGAUAACAGGCUGAUACCGCCCAAGAGUUCAUAUCGACGGCGGUGUUUGGCACCUCGAUGUCGGCUCAUCACAUCCUGGGGCUGAAGUAGGUCCCAAGGGUAUGGCUGUUCGCCAUUUAAAGUGGUACGCGAGCUGGGUUUAGAACGUCGUGAGACAGUUCGGUCCCUAUCUGCCGUGGGCGCUGGAGAACUGAGGGGGGCUGCUCCUAGUACGAGAGGACCGGAGUGGACGCAUCACUGGUGUUCGGGUUGUCAUGCCAAUGGCAUUGCCCGGUAGCUAAAUGCGGAAGAGAUAAGUGCUGAAAGCAUCUAAGCACGAAACUUGCCCCGAGAUGAGUUCUCCCUGAGACUUAGAGUCUCCUGAAGGAACGUUGAAGACGACGACGUUGAUAGGCCGGGUGUGUAAGCGCAGCGAUGCGUUGAGCUAACCGGUACUAAUGAACCGUGAGGCUUAACCUU
This 2904-nucleotide ribosomal RNA is filed under the name Salmonella enterica subsp. enterica serovar Mississippi. RNAcentral's name for it is "bacterial LSU rRNA". It matches the Rfam family "Bacterial large subunit ribosomal RNA". Lineage: Bacteria; Pseudomonadati; Pseudomonadota; Gammaproteobacteria; Enterobacterales; Enterobacteriaceae. The record is from RNAcentral.